GAAAAUGCAAAAGUGGAAAGGAAUUCAACCGGAAAUCUGCAGAAGCUUCCUUUCGAAGUCUGGUGAAAACUCACGAAAAAUAUGGUUGGGUUACACCGCCUUUAGCUGAAGGUUAAUGAAAUAAACUGUCAAUUCCAGGAGAUGAUUUAGAGAAAUGCUGGAUGCCCCAUAAAGAUGGCUUCGGCUUUCAGGAAGUUAUUUAAAUCUACCGAUAGACUUUCUGACGAACGGAGAAAAAAGAAUCGUGGUUCACCAAGUCGACAAUUCGCAGCCAGGUUAUUAGGCCAAUAUGAAAGUCCUAGAGUAUCAAGAAGAGACUCGAAAAUUAGUCCAGCGGAUGCAUCGGUUCCAGCUACAUCUAAAAAGUCUUCCAAAGUAGACUCUGUCAUAUCAGAAAGUGUUAUGAGACAUAAUCAAGCCGUACGUACAAGAAGAUUAAUGAAGGAAUAUCAAGAGAUGACCAGGUUGAUGAGGAACGUAGAGAAACCUCCAUACACGGUAGAAUUGGUAGAAGAUAAUCUAUACGAUUGGAACAUAAAACUUCACCAGAUCGAUCCAGAAUCAGAUUUUUAUCGAGACAUGCAAGAGACACACACACCAUACGUCCUGAUUAACAUAAAUUUCCCCGAAAACUUUCCAUUUUCUCCGCCAUUCAUGCGUGUGAUCUCACCCCAUAUUGAAAAGGGUUUCGUCAUGGAAGGUGGUGCUAUCUGCAUGGAACUCUUAACACCCAGAGGUUGGGCAUCGGCAUACACAGUCGAGGCAGUCAUCAUGCAGUUUGCUGCUAGUUUAGUCAAAGGUCAAGGCCGGAUAGCCCGAAAAUGCAAAAGUGGAAAGGAAUUCAACCGGAAAUCUGCAGAAGCUUCCUUUCGAAGUCUGGUGAAAACUCACGAAAAAUAUGGUUGGGUUACACCGCCUUUAGCUGAAGGUUAAUGAAAUAAACUGUCAAUUCCAGGAACAGACUUCAUCUUACAAAUCCGAAUACGAUUUAAGUAACAAGCUAUGAAUUUUAAUGUGAGGUUAAACGAUUUUCUUAUGAGCCAGUGGUUCGAGAGAUACAACGACUAAACUUCCAGUCAAGUACGGUAGAGUUUCAUCUCCAAAAAUGGAUCCACUGUCGAGUCCGAGUAGCAGCCAUUUUCAAAAAUGGUUGCACAGCGGCGGUGUUCCAUUCUGUCUCGUUGUUGUCUUUAAUCGUCAGUUCAAUUUCGAACCACAAAUAAUGACUGGAGAGAGAGGGUCUACAAUCAUUUAUAGGCCUACAUUAAUAAAAAAAAUAAUAAUAAAAAACAAUUCGACGAAGAUGAAUUUAGUAAACAAUUUUUCCAAUACAGAAAAUAAAUAGACUUUUUAGUUUACGAUAUUUUAAUUUAUUCCGAUAAUUAUUUUUGUGUCUAACAAUUUAUUUUUAUAUUUGUAAUUAAGUCUCGAGGCCCUCCCUCUCCUCCUCUACAUGUUUCGUCAUUUUGUCUAUUCAUGUUUCCCUUCUUAUAUAGAAUAUUAUAGCAUUAGUCGAUUAUAGCGUAUUAUUCGAUAAUAUAAAUACUUUUUCCUGGGAAAAUUAAUAGUACAAUGUUAUACAACUCGUACCUGAAGAUACUGGAUGUUUCUGUAUUUAUCAAACUUGAAGCCAUGUCACAUUUUUGGUGCAUCACUUAAUAUUAAAAACAUU
Molecule: unclassified non-coding RNA, 1672 nt
Filed under: Centruroides sculpturatus (bark scorpion)
Lineage: Eukaryota; Metazoa; Arthropoda; Arachnida; Scorpiones; Buthidae
Description: ubiquitin-conjugating enzyme E2Q-like protein 1, transcript variant X1
Source: RNAcentral